This 444-nucleotide ribosomal RNA is filed under the name uncultured bacterium. RNAcentral describes it as "SSU rRNA". It matches the Rfam family "Bacterial small subunit ribosomal RNA", at positions 26 to 518 of the family's 1533-position model. The record is from RNAcentral.
AGAGCGAACGCUGGCGGCAGGCCUAAUACAUGCAAGUCGAACGCACCUUCGGGUGAGUGGCGGACGGGUGAGUAACACGUGGGAACGUGCCUUUUGGUUCGGAAUAAUCCGGGGAAACCUGGCCUAAUACCGGAUGUGCCCUUCGGGGGAAAGAUUUAUCGCCAUUAGAGCGGCCCGCGUCUGAUUAGCUUGUUGGUGGGGUAAUGGCCCACCAAGGCUACGAUCAGUAGCUGGUCUGAGAGGAUGAUCAGCCACACUGGGACUGAGACACGGCCCAGACUCCUACGGGAGGCAGCAGUAGGGAAUCUUGCGCAAUGGGCGAAAGCCUGACGCAGCCAUGCCGCGUGAAUGAUGAAGGUCUUAGGAUUGUAAAAUUCUUUCAGCGGGGAAGAUAAUGACUGUACCCGCAGAAGAAGCUCCGGCUAACUUCGUGCCAGCAGCCGC